AUUGAACGCUGGCGGCAGGCCUAACACAUGCAAGUCGAGCGGAUGAAGGGAGCUUGCUCCUGGAUUCAGCGGCGGACGGGUGAGUAAUGCCUAGGAAUCUGCCUGGUAGUGGGGGAUAACGUCCGGAAACGGGCGCUAAUACCGCAUACGUCCUGAGGGAGAAAGUGGGGGAUCCUCGGACCUCACGCUAUCAGAUGAGCCUAGGUCGGAUUAGCUAGUUGGUGGGGUAAAGGCCUACCAAGGCGACGAUCGGUAACUGGUCUGAGAGGAUGAUCAGUCACACUGGAACUGAGACACGGUCCAGACUCCUACGGGAGGCAGCAGUGGGGAAUAUUGGACAAUGGGCGAAAGCCUGAUCCAGCCAUGCCGCGUGUGUGAAGAAGGUCUUCGGAUUGUAAAGCACUUUAAGUUGGGAGGAAGGGCAGUAAGUUAAUACCUUGCUGUUUUGACGUUACCAACAGAAUAAGCACCGGCUAACUUCGUG
This 484-nucleotide ribosomal RNA is filed under the name uncultured bacterium. RNAcentral describes it as "partial 16S ribosomal RNA". It matches the Rfam family "Bacterial small subunit ribosomal RNA", at positions 30 to 507 of the family's 1533-position model. The record is from RNAcentral.